GCUCGCAGGCUUCGAAACAUGGUUUCUUUCAGCCACCGGGUUCCCUUCGAACCCUGAUUUUGACGAAGCAAAAGGGAAUCCGCGGCCCAAACUCAAGGUAAGUCCCCUUUUUCUUUUCUUUUUUUGAAUGUAAAAUGACAAAAAUUAAAAAAAGGGAAGAAAUAGCAAAUAGAACCGAAGAACAAAGAUCACCUUCUCAAGAAGUGGCUUUCUGAUUUUCAAGCAAUGUGUAUUGCGUAUGUAUUGUGUGUAUUCAUUUAUAUUGCCUUCGUAACCAUUACAAAGAUUAAAUCGUUGGCUUUAUAGCCGAAAAGAAAUCAAAAGAUAAAAAAUACAAACAAAUUCCUAUUGGCUGUCGUUCUCGCUGCUGUUUUUUGUUUCCUUUCGCAGGUACAGGUGCGUGGCGUAUGUACGAGGCUGUAGUGGCGUACGAGGGCUAUUGACGUAGAGGCCCGAGCGUUGUACGGCGCCUGGAGGCUGCAGUAGUUGCUGCGGCACAAGCAGAGGAGAUGACCUAGGGUUUCUGAGGCUGUUAGGGAAAUGGGCCUAUAGGGCUUGCUCCGAUUUGGGUUCUAACAUUAAUUUGGGCUUGUAAUGGGCAUCGGGUUUGUCUUUGGAUCAUAGGAUUGGUCUUUGUAAAUAGGCUAUGGGCUAUAUUAGUAAUUUUUGGACUAAUGGACUGUAAAAGGACAUUUGGGUUUUAUGUUUAUUAUUUUUGGUUUGUUUUUUGUUUUUUUAUAUGGGUCGAACAAAUUUGGCCCACUACAGCUACCCCUCUUUGCUCAUUGUUGUGUAACGAGAAUAGAGCAAAGACUAUCAAAUGACCAAAUUUGCCCAGUCUGGCUAAGUCUCAAAAUCUUGACCCUCAUCUUCCCCAAAGGUAUUCUGAUGUCUUUAGGAGUGUCAAAUUGGCUAUCCUCAACUUGCUUCUUGAAAACUCAGGAACACCAAUCUGUUAUUUUCGAUCUGCUCUCUGCCAAUACAGAGAUGCCAAAUCUGCUAUCUUCGAUCUGCUCUCUGUCAAUACAGAGACGCCAAAUCUGCUAUAUUCGAUCUACCCUCUGACAAUACAGAGACGCCAAAUCUGCUAUCUUCGAUCUGCCCUCUAACAAUACAGAGACACCAAAUCUGCUAUAUUCGAUCUGCUCCUUGCCAAUACAGAGACGCCAAAUCUGUUAUCUUCGAUCUGCUCUCCGCUAAUACAGAGACACCAAAUCUGCUAUCUUCAAUUUACUCUCCGCCAGUACAGAGACGCCAAAUCUGCUUAUCUUUAAUCUGCUCUCCGCCAAUACAGAGACGCCAAAUCUGCUAUCUUCGAUCUGCCCUCUGACAAUACAGAGACGUCAAAUCUGUUAUCUUCGAUCUGCUCUCUGUCAACACAGAGAUGCCAAAUCUGCUAUCUUCGAUCUGCUCUCUACCAAUACAGAGACGCCAAAUCUGCUAUCUUCGAUCUGCUCUCCGCUAAUACAGAAACGCCAAAUCUGCUAUCUUCGAUUUGCUCUCCGCCAAUACAGAGACGCCAAAUCUGCUAUCUUCGAUCUGCUCUCUGUCAACACAGAGAUGCCAAAUCUGCUAUCUUUGAUUUGCUCUCUGCCAAUACAGAGACGCCAAAUCUGCUAUCUUAAUCUGCCCCCUGCCAAUACAAAGACGUCAAAUCUGUUAUCUUCGAUCUACUCUCUGUCAACACAGAGAUGCCAAAUCUGCUAUCUUCGAUCUACUCUCCGCCAAUACAAGAACGCCAAAUCUGCAGGAUUCGCCAAUGUCGCUACACUGUCUUCUAAAGACAUGAUGUAUAGAAUGGGUUUCCUGUAUCUGUGUAUGUCAAAUAACUAGGAUACUAUGAUCGAGAUGAAUCAAACAUCCCUAACUAGAUGUAGUGUUUAUGUCAAAUAAUUAGAAUGCUAUGAUCGAAAUGAAUCAAGUGCUCCUAACUAAAUGAAUGAUUACGAAUGUAGAAAUGUCAUGAGAGUGAUUCCUUUUUAAACGCUUAAGGUAUCAUUGCUCAUAAUUCACCAAGGUUCUAUCAUUGAUGUACUAUCACGCUCUCUUACUUAGCCGUUAUCUUUGAUAGAAAAUUUGAAGAAAUAGUCACAAGUAGGACUCUUCUUUUUCGAAUGUUUCCAACUUUGAACCUGAUUAGUCCUAACUAGUGGCCCUGUUUCAGGUUCUUGUACUAUUUAGAGACUUUCCAAAGUAAUAUGCAUAACAUCUUUUGUGUGAAUAUUACAUGUCCAAAAAUCGCGAUUUCAACAAAAAUGCUCGCAAGAGAUUAUCAUAAUGGACAAAUGGAAUUUUAUUAAGCAAAAUUUGACGUGAAUACAUAGGAUCACGAAUAUGAUAAGGUGCAAAGAAUGAGAAAAAGGUGCCCCAGAUAUCGCAGCACGAGUUUCACUAUUCUAAUUUCUCAAAGGCUCCUUCGAACCAAAUGUAUAUUCAGGAGAUCCUGCGAAUUUUUUUGAUUCUCCAAGGUGUACUGUUCUUCUGUCUUGCUGAUUUCGGGAGGACAAGACUACCAUAUGCCCCAUAUUUAAAAUUUGAGCUGCCCGUUUUUGGGUUUUCAACUCAAAAGCCCCUUUGGUUCUAAAGUGCCCUUUGCGGGUUUUCACCUUGGCCUCUCCAUUAUUUUUUUUCAGAGUUCAGAGCGCCCUUUGCGGGUUUUCACUCUAGCCUCUCUUUCUUCAGGUAAAAUAUUUCUUGACCGAACCUGAGUUUACAGGAUUGGGCAAGUUUCUACCAUCCAUCUUAGCUAGAAUCAAUACUCCUCCGGAGAAAGUUUUCUUCACCACGUAAGGUUCUUCCCAAUUAGGCAUCCAUUUCCCUCGAAAAUCCUUCUGUAUGGGGAGGAUCUUUUUCAAAACCAGAUUUCCCUCGUGGAAUUCUCUAGGGCGAACCUUUUUGUCAUAAGCCUGCAUCAUUCGUUUUUGGUAUAUCUGACCAUGACGAAUAGCUUUUAGCUUUUUUUCCUCGAUCAAGUUCAAUUGGUCAUAUCGAUACUGGACCCACUCUGUUUUAUCCAAUUUUAGUUCCGACGACACUCGGAAGGAUGGGAUCUCGACUUCGAUGGGCAAAACUGCUUUCAUUCUGUAGACCAGGGAGAAAGGCGUUGCCCCAGUUGAGGUUCUGACCGAUGUUCGAUAAGUAAAGAGGGCAAAUGGUAAUUUCUCAUGCCAAUCUUUGUAGGUCUCGGUCAUCUUUCCCACGAUAUUCUUAAUAUUUUUAUUGGCUGCUUCCACUGCCCUAUUCAUCUUCGGGCGAUAUGGUGACGAGUUGUGAUGUCUGAUCUUAAAUUGACUGCAGACUUCCACUAUCGUACUGUUGUUCAAGUUUAAUGCAUUGUCAGAUAUGGUCCUCCCCGGUAUUCCAUAUCGACAUAUGAUCUCUUUUUUCAAGAACCUGCUCACUGCUGACUUUGUAACACUAGCAUACAAAGCAGCUUCUACCCAUUUGGUGAAGUAGUCGAUAACCAAAAAGAUGAACCGAUGCCCAUUGAAAGCUUUUGGCAAUAUUGGUCUAAUCACAUCCAUGCCCCACAUAGAGAAAGGCCAUGGGGAAACCAUGACAUGUAGCGGUGAAGGAGGCACAUGAAUUUUGUCUCUAUAAAUUUGACAUUUAUGACACCUCUUGGCGUAAUUGAUACAGUUUCCUUCCAUAGUGGACCAAUAAUACCCAAAUCUCAUAAUUUGCUUGGCCAUUGUGAAGUCAUUAGCGUGUGUCCCACAAACGCCCUCAUAGACUUCUUCCAAGAUUUUCUUAGCCUCUACAGCGUCGACGCAUCUUAAUAGCACUUGAUCCUUUCUUCUUUUGUAUAGGAUCUCCCUAUCUAAGACAUAGUUGAUGGCCAAUCUUCUCAGCGUCCUUUUGUCAUUUUUACUUGCCUGGUCGGAGUAUUCACGAUUCCUCACGUAUUGCAAUAUAUCAUGAUACCAAGGGUGAUCAUCUUUUUCUUCUUCCUCUUCAAUAUUAUAACAGUGAGCUGGAGUUUCAUAAAUGCCCAUCCGGAUGGGUUUGACAUCUUCUUGUUUGUUCACCUUGAUCAGGGAGGCUAAGGUAGCCAAAGCGUCAGUCAUCUGAUUUUCAUCUCGUGGAAGGUAGUGGAAGGUAAUAUCAUCAAACUCUUUAUCCAAAUCCAGGACCAGCUUCCGAUAAUCGAUUAACUUGGGGUCUCUGGUCUCCCAUUCUCCCUUGAGUUGAUAAAUCACUAGCGCAGAAUCUCCAUACACCUCUAGCAUUUUAAUCUUAUGUUCUAUGGCUGCACGGACUCCCAUGAUGCACGCCUCAUAUUCCACCAUAUUAUUCGUACAAUCAAAAUCCAAUUUACUAGUGAAUGGAUAAUGAUCUCCGUUUGGGGAUACCAAGACGGCCCCGAUUCCAUUGCCCACAGCAUUUGACGCCCCGUCGAAGUUCAAUUUCCAAGGAAGUUCUUCUAGAGCACCUUCUUCAGUGGUAGCAACACAUAUUAGGUCUUUAUUCAGAAAGUCGAAGUUCAAAGGCUCGUAGUCUUCCAAAGCUCUACUGGCCAGGAAAUCUGCUAUUGCACUUCUUUUUACCGCUUUCUGGUUCACAUAGACUAUGUCGAAUUUAGAAAGCAGAAUCUGCCAUCGGGCCAUCCUUCUAUUCAAGGCUGUUGACUCCAUCAUGUACUUUAAAGGGUCUAAUUUUGAUAUGAGCCAAGUGGUGUGAUACAACAUAUACUGCCUCAGCCUUCGGGUUGUCCAAAUUAGGGCACAACACAACUUCUCUAUCGGUGGGUAUCUUGUCUCACAUUCCGUGAACUUUUUACUAAGAUAGUCAAUAGCCUUCUCUUUCCUUUCUGACUCAUCAUGCUGACCCAAUACGUAUCCCAUGGAAUUCUCAAAUACUGUCAAAUACAGUAUCAAUGGCUUAUCGGGGUUAGGUGGCAUUAGCAUCGGGGCGUUGGAUAAGUACUGUUUGACCUUGUCGAAAGCCCUUUGACAUUCUUCAUCCCAUUCACCUGGGUUAUGUUUCUUGAUGAGGCAAAAGACAUGGUCACAUUUCUCGGUCAGUUGUGAAAUAAACCGAGCAAUGUAAUUUAGUCUUCUUAGAAAGCCUCGAGCCUCCUUUUGGGUACGCAGUGGAGAUAGCUCUUGUAUGGCUUUGACUUUGUCUGGAUCAAUCUCAAUCUCUUUUUCACUAACCACGAAUCCGAGCAACUUUCCAGACUUGGCUCUGAAUGUACAUUUGGCUGGGUUGAGUUUUAGCUGAAACUUCCUCAACCUCAAGAACAAUUUUCUCAAGACUUGUAUGUGCUCCUUCUCUGUUCGAGAUUUUGCGAUCAUAUUAUCGACAUAAACCUCGAUUUCUUUAUGCAUCAUGUCGUGGAACAGGGUUACCAUGGCUCUUUGAUAAGUUACCCCCGUAUUCUUCAGUCUAAAUGGCAUCACUUUGUAACAGAACGUACCCCACAUGGUUACAAAUGUAGUCUUCUCCAUAUCCUCAGGAUGCAUCUUGAUUUGGUUAUAUCCAGAAAAAUUAUCCAUGAAUGAAAACAGUAAGUGUCCUACCGUGUUGUCCACUAGGGUAUUGAUAUGAGGCAGCGGGAAAUUAUCUUUCGAGCUGGCUUUAUUCAAAUCUCUGUAGUCCACACACAUUUACACUUUUCCAUCUUUCUUAGGGACGGGGACGAUGUUAGCUACCCAAUCUGAGUAUUUUACCACCUUCAGAAAUCCGGCGUCGAACUACUUUUGAACCUCUUCUUUUAUUUUUAACAAGACAUCGGGCCUCAUUCUUCGGAGUUUUUGCUGAACUGGCUUACAUUCUUCCUUUAUGGGGAGUCAGUGUCCAGCCCAGGCAUAUCUUGGUAUGACCAUGCUAAGACAUCUUUAAAUUCUUGAAGUAAUUCAAUGAGGUCUCGCUUCAUCUCCGUAGUGAUACACGUUCCGAUCUUCACCUCUUGCCCUUCUCUUAAGCUCAUAAUUUCAACUGAUUCUUUGUGAGGUAAGAUUUGUUUCUCGUCUUGUUCUACCAUCCUCAACAAAUCAGGAGAUAAGUUACAGCCUUGGUCAUCUUCAAAAUCCUGAGAAUCCUCCAUACACACAUCUCGCUCGAAAGGUAAUUCUGAGUCGCUAGUAGUGUCACUCGUAUCAUUAAUAUCUGGGGACCUGUUAUGAGGAUGAAGGCAGAUACAAAGAAUCAAAAGAAUUCGAAACAUUUAUUUGCGUGGUAUGAUUAUGAAUGACGAAUGAAAGAAUAUUUAGAAGAAUGUUUCAAGAAUAAAAGAAUCCGAAAAUAAUCAUUUGUAUGGUUAUGAAUGAAAUUGAAAGGACGAGAGAACAUUUGCUCAAAAAUGAUAAUAACCGUGCAUUUGAUUGAAAUAACGCUUUUAAACAUUAGCCUAUUUCACAAAAGAUUCUUAUUACUCCUAGGCCUAGAGCAAUAAGUGUAUUUUGGACAUUACUCUGAAUCUGUUCUAAAAACUACAUGAAUCUCUUCCGCAGUCCAGUUGUCCAGAACACUUCCAGGUGUGUAGGGGCAAAUGUCUGACAAAUUUUCUCUUUCAGUCUCCUCUUCGUAUAUGACAUUGAUGUCUAAGCUUUCCAACCUUUCUUCUAUAGCUCCCAUCAUUGGCGUGUCUCUCUUAGGAUAAAUGAUUCCCCCGGAAAAAAAUGUUUUCGAUAUAUGGGGGAAUAUUAUUGGUUCUCACUUGAUUUUCUCCCCCGUUAACUGUGUUCUCCUUCUCUCUUGCUUCUUUUCUAGCUCCCUUCUCCUUUGUUUCGCAUCUGGCUUAAAUCCUAGGUCGAAGCGGUCUCUCUUGUCUUUCAGUAUUGGCGUUUCAAUCCUUCAUUGUAGAUGUCUCCCAAGUUCUCUCCCGGGUAGGGCCCAUUUUCCAAUCGUCAACUGGAGGCUCAUCCUCGUGGUUUUGGACAAUUUUGGCACCAGAAUUUUACUUCCCUCGGCGAUGAACGUCGCAUUAACAAAUUCUAAAGAUCGAAAUGAGCAUUCGAUUGCUUCAUCAUCUGUCUCCAAAUAUGGUGCAUUAUUGCUCACAGUUGCAAUGGUAUCCUCUUCAGCCUUGAUCGUUAUCAGCCUCCCCUCCGAUACCAGCUUCAAUUUUUUAUGCAACGAGGAAUGCACUGCCCCAGCUGAAUGUAUCCAGGGCCUCCCCAAUAAGCAAUUAUAUGAGGGCUUGAUAUCCAUCACGAGGAAAUCGGCCUCAUAUGUGUUUGGCCCGAUCUGAAGAGGUACAUCAAUUCUGCCCAUCACCUUCCUCUCCGUGCCGUCGAAUGUCUUUACGAUGUUUUGGAAUUCCUUUAUGUGAGAGCUGUCUAUAGGUAAUCUGUUAAGUGUAGUCAAGGGCAAAAUGUUCAAGGCUGAACCAUUGUCAAUCAGUACGCCUGGCAGCGUAUACCCUUUACAGUGCGUGGUAAUAUACAAAGCUUUAGUCGACUCCAUGCCCCCAGGUGGUAUCUCAUCGUCAUUGAAGAAAAUAAAAUUGUCGGCACUGAUGUUGCUAACCAAACGGUCCAACUUGUUAUCAUUGGCAACGUACGUUUCAUUCAAGACCUUCAUUAGCGCACUACGAUAAAUUUCUGAGCUUAGAAGCAAGGCCAGCACCGAGAUACGGGCUGGUUGUUUACGUAGCUGUUCCACCACACUGUAUUCGCUAUGCUUUAGGAAUUUUAAAAACUCAUUGGCCUCCUCUUCGUUAACUGGCUCGUUAACAGGUUCGGUUGCUUUUCCCUUCAUUUCCUCGACCACCUGGGUUUUUCCUUUUGUGGGCUAUGCCUCCUCAUUUGCUAUAUCGUAACGUCUCCCGCUACGUGUAUAGGAGCCCCUAUCUUGGUCCCCUCUUGAAGCGUUAACCAGGUUCUCCUUUCCCGGUAUCGUCACACUGCACUCAUAAUUCCAUGAGACAUUUUUGCUAUAUUUGUAGGGGAAGACUGCAGGUCUUUGGAUUAUGACCCUCGGUGGCACUUGUACUCUAGCUUCAUUAUUUUGGGGUCUCAAAAUGAUCACCACAGGAUAGUUAGAUGUUCGAUUCUGUACCGUCGAUUCUUCCUCCGAUGCGUAUAUAUCUCCCUCUACAGGGUUUUUGGCUUCUUCAUAAAACUCAAUUUCCUUAUUGUUCAUCAUGUUUUGCACUAAGGCUUUGAACUCCACGCAAUCUUGGAUUUCAUGCCCCACCUCAUCGUGAAACUCACAGUAGUUUCUCUCUUCUUCGGAUUCUUCCCUUGAAUCCAACGCGAUCAAUCCUCUCUUGGCCAUCUCCUUCCAUACCCGCCUCAACGGGGUCCUGACUUCUGCCACCUCAUACUUGGUCUUCUUAUUCCUACCUUCACUUAUCUCAUUCACUCAUUGGUCGAUAUGAUUAGGGAGUGGGUUUUCUGCUACAUUGGGUGUGGCUGGGUCGUCAAAUCUCACGAUCCCCAUCUUAAUAAGUCUUUCAAGUACUUUCUUAAACGCAGCGCAGUUUUCGAUAGAGUGCCCGGUGAUUCCUGCGUGGUAUUCACAUUGGGCGUUUGUGUCAUACCAUUUGGGAUACGGGGGCUGCAGUGGCUUCAGGUAGAAAGGAGACACCAUAUGAGCUUGAACAGGUUCUGGUACAACUCCCUAUACGUCAUGGGUAUAAGGGUGAAUUGUGGCCUUUCUGUGUUCUCCCUCGCGUUGGAUUCUUGUUUUACAGAGCUUUGCUGAUUGGUGGUCACCGUCUUGGGUUGAUUUACGGUGAAUGACUUGGACUGACCCUUGUUGAAUGUGCUCGUGUUGUUUACUUCAUUGUCUCUUUUCCUCAGGGCUGACUUCCUGGUACUAUCCCUGAAUUCUAUCUUACCGCUCCUUAUAGAAUUUUCGAUAAUUUCCCCCGUCAUCACUAUGUCGGAGAAGCUCUUGGUGGCGCUUCCCAACAUAUGAGUGAUUAAAGGGGCUUUCAAGGUGUUGAUAAUGAGCAUUGUCGUCUCUUUUUCUAGAAGCAGCGGCUGAACUUGUAUGGCCACUUCUCUCCACCUUUGUGCAUACUGUCUGAAGCGUUUAUUUGACUUUUUCUCCAUAUUCUGGAGAGUGAUUCUGUCGGAGGUCAUGUCCGUCACGUGGUUGUAUUGUUUCAUAAAGGCCUGAGCCAGGUCCUUCCAUGAGUUAAUUUUAGAGCGGCUUAAUUGGUUAUACCAUUUAGACACUGCCCCGACCAGACUAUCUUGAAAGUAAUGGAUCAAUAGCUGGUCGUUGUUAACAUAUCCCGUCAUUCGCCUGCAGAACAUAGUGAUGUGGGCUUCAGGGCAGCUUGUUCUAUUGUAUUUCUCGAACUCGGGCAUUUUGAAUUUGGGGGGAAGGACUAAAUCUGGGACCAAAUUCAAGUCCUUGGCAUCAAUCCCUUGAUGAUGAUCCGCGCUCUCCAUGACUUUGAAUUUCUCCUUAAGCCAUCUACAUCGUUCUUCCAAUAGUUUUUACGAAUCUGCACUCGCCUUUUCUUCUUCAGCAACUUCAUCCAAAUCGGGAACGGGCGGAUAGUUUGGGUUGUUGACAAAGUUAGAGCCUGAGCCGGCUUGGAAGUUAUUGCUGGGGUAUGAUUGUGACAGAUGGUUUUUGUAGGUUAAUCUCGGGAUUCAUCAGUAUAUACAUCGGAGUAAAGCCAAGGGGUAUUGGAGAUCCUCAUUAAUUUCUUCAACUUUGUCCAUGGGGCUCUUUCCCUUAUACAUUCCUCCCAACAGCAAUUUGGACAACUGGGACAUCAUUUCUCUCUGGGACUCCAUCAUUUGUUCAUUCAUCUCUAGCUGAAUCUUGGCUAGUUGCUAUUGCAUCUGAGGCUACAUUUGUUCUUGCAUGUCCUUUUGCAUUUGCUCUAAUUUCUCAAGUCUCUUAUCUAUUGAUUUUUUUUGUACCGUAGGGGUGCGUGGUUGGUUGGUUUUCGUUAGUUUCCAGGUUACUGAAAUAAUUUUUAAUUAAUUAAUUAGAAAACUCUUAUGGCCAUUAAUGCAUAAUGAUAUGAUGUAAUGAAAAUGCAUGAAUGCAAAUGAGGCAUCAAUUUUGAUUCAAUUGCCCUUAGAAAAUUUCACUUGAAAAUAAAAUCUUUUUACAUAAAGUUGAGUUACAAAUAAAAUUUCGCUCUAAUACUCAAAGUCCUAAUUUUUCUAAACAACGGGCUAGCUCUUGUCUACGAUCCAAUUCCAACUCAUACUUCACGCUCAGUGUGUUCGCCUGAACCACUAAAGUUUGCAAGUAGUCUGCUACCUCCCGAAUCUGGGCUAUGGCUUCCCUCAUAAGGUAAUCUCUAUUUCUGACUUGGUCUUGCGCAUGGUGAAGCUGUUCUUUCCAACGAUCUUUGUUUGCCUCGAAAAACUGGAUCCGCAUCUCACAGUUUUGCAGUGACGCCUCUAACUCUUCUAUUUUUCCUUUCAUUUCUUCUAUCUUGCUCAAGCUUGCUCUCAAUUCCAUUGCAGUGUUGCGGUUUCGGUACUGAUGCAGAGACUUCUCAAGUUCUGCCACUCUAGCCCUUAAUUCACCUCGCUCAUUUCUGCUCUUCGACAGACUAUUCUCCAAAUCUUCGUUUCGUGUCUGAGCUUCUCGGAAUUUUCUUUCCCACCAGUCGGUAUUGGCUUUUUCUUCUUGAAUUUCAUGGCGCCAUUGUUCGGAAGUCUUACCUAAACCUGCAGUCCUCAUAGAUAGGCGUAGCUUCUUGUAGUCCGUCUUCAAGUUGUCUAGAUCUUCUUCGGCCUUAGUUUUUCCUUUUCUCCACUUCUUAGCCUCUGACCUCUGAACAUCAGCAUCUAACCUUAAGUGCAUCUUCUCUUCCUCCAAUUGUUCGAUCUUCUUCCCAAGCUCCAAAAUCUUCUUCUCGAAGUCUUGUUUUAUAAUUUCCAAUUCUGAUAGGGCGACUCGUAAUUGUUCUUCGAUAGGUCGAGCAUUCUCCAAGCUUGGCCUAAGAAUAUUAUCAUUAACCCUCUUCUUAAACCACUCGUUAUACUCAGGCGUUACCAUGGAACCGAUGGCUAACCUCUUCAUCCAACAAGUUUACUUUCAAGCAUUCGAUAACUCCCGAACUCUCUUCUUAUAGUGAGCACUUUUAAACGAGAAAUCACUCUGAGCAAAUCCAUAGGUCGCGGGUACAAACUACCUCAACUUAUAUUGCCUCAAGGCUAGCAAUGGAGUAUACCCUGUAGCUCCCCAAAUCCCUAACAAUGGCACCCAAUCGAAGUUACCACAUCGGUACAUGAUCUCGUCAGGAACCAUCCAAUAAGCUCUCCACUCGAUAUCCCCCUCCUUGAGGUUCUGAAGAAUAUCCAUCCACUUCUCUUUCGAGAUAUCCUCUCUCCUUUGUAUAGCUACCUCUUCUUUUAACGAAGAAUAACCCUCAGAAAAGACCCGAUAGGGAACCUUGUCUACCUUCCAAAAGUGCUCGCGAAACCAUGCCAUCAAUAAUUGUGCACAUCCAAUGAACCGUCCUUCACCCAUCCUCUGACAUGAGCUCAAAGAUCUGAAUGUUUCUGCCAAUAUUGCCAGUACCGGUGUGAUUCCCUUCUCAAGGCGAUCGAAUAAAUCAAUGACUGCUUUGUCCACGUGCCUCAAAGCCUUGGGAAAAAUUACCAACCCGUAGAGGCUUAAGGCAAAGAGGUCGACCCUCUUUCUUUCGUCUGGAUGCGUCAAGAUCAAAUCUCACAAAUUCUCCCAAGGGAUACAUUUGCUAUCUCCUUUUCGCUAAAUCCGUGCGGUGACCCAAGGCUCCCUUAUCCCAGAAAUGCUCAUCCGAAAGUCUGACUACUAAAAACCCGGGCAUAAGUCUUCCGGACCUGAAUUUUUGGACACCUGAGCAAAGUAGUGUAUUCCUCCAUGGUAGGUACCAAAUCCACUUCUCCAAAAGUGAAACACUUGUACGCAGAAUUCCAAAACUGCACCAAGGCUCAGAACAAAUGCUUAUCCACUCUAAUGUCUAGUAGGUAGGAUAUGUCACCAUAGCUUUGGUAAAACAACUACUUGAUCCCUUCAUCCCAACUAGCCCAAAUGCCUCUCAACUCUUGCAGCUCAUUCUGUACUACGUUGACGCAAGUGAAAUCCUACAGCUCCGAUACAUACCCUUCUGCCAAGCUAUCCCCUCUCUCUAAUUGUAGCCUUUCCGAACAUGCACGAAUGGCCGCAUUAUCCUCGAUUUUACUAAGAAAUUCAUUCUCCAUGUCAAACUUUCUAACUUAGUAAUUGAAUACGGAUUAACACCUCCUUUAGUAUGCAAUGUCAUGCAAAAAAAAUCAAAACAAAACACAGGUUAGUAUCACAUGAUAAUGAUAAAAUGCAAGCACAUAAACGAUAAUCGCAACGCAUAUACGGGUAAGUACUAAGGCUCGACGCGGCUCCACCCAAGGAUAGCUCUUAAGGUUCACUAUAUGUGGUUUAGUUCUAGGGAUAAGGUACCUGAACCAGCAGAUUCAUCAAUCCUCACCCAUUAUAGGCUCAUAUAGAUCGAGUUCGGUUCGGGGGGAUACAUUUCCCUAUGACCAUGCGGAGAUGAAAAUCUCACAAAAUCAUAGGUACGGAUGUACCCCGGAAGUAAUCCACUAGCCCAUGCGGAGGUGGAAACCUCACGAAAGCGUAGUUUCUUACUCCCACUUAGAAGGUACGACCACAGCGGUCGUGCAAUGAAAUGCAGCAUUAUUCUACACGAUCCAAACAUAAUAACCAUACAAACAAAUGCAUUUGUGAUUUUAAAAACAAGUUUUCGAUUUUUGAUAGAAGGACAGUAAAUAAUCAAUUUUUAUGGCUCGACUCUCAAAAAGGUCCCCAGCGGAGUCGCCAAGCUGUCGAAACCGUCCUUUCGGUUUAAAAAUUUUAGGUUUAAUAGAAAAAACGAGGAAUCGACUGUUUGAAAAUAAAACAUAGGGUCGCCACCGAUCCUUUUGUUUAGGUGUGAUCGGAUCACCUAAGAAUUUGAUUAUUUUAAUAAAACAUUUUUAGUUUACUAAAACAACGAUUCUGGUCUACGAAAAUAUGAAAAAAAGGGCUCGGGAGUCGGUUACGUAUGAGGAAGGAUUAACACCCUCAUUACGCCCAAAAUUGGUACCAAAUCGAUUAAAUACCGUCCUUAUGUCUAAAAUUAAAAAUGUUUUUGAAAUGCGGUUCUUGUUAAUAACAUUUGAAUAACCCGAGUUGGUUGCAAAAAAUCUUCUUGUUUCGACGUCCGAAAGUUUAUAAUUUGAAAUUAACAAAAGGAUGCCCAACUAUUUGGUCCAACAAAAAACCGAAACCCAGCACAGUAGGGCACGAUUCCUCAAAUUUCCGAACAUCGAACAUUGCCUCACCUUAGAAAAUACGGGUGAAAUUCUGAAGGGAUCUUCGAUUGUUUUGAGCGAAUGAAAAAGCGCAACCCAACACGAUAGGGCUCGAUUCUCAAAUCGCCAAACAUCGAACAUCGCCUUCGUUUUGAAAGGUUUUUAAUAAACAUGAAUGAAAACCUAAAGGAAUAUUCGAUUGUUUUGAACAAACGAGAAAACACAACCCAGCACGAUAGGGCAUGAUUCCCGAAUUGUCAAACACCUAGUACCUUCGUUUUAAAGGAUUUCUAGAAGACCUGAGUGAAAUUUUGAAGGGAUAUUUGAUUAUUUUAAACAAACGAGAAAUUGCAACCCAACACGUUAGGGCACGAUUCCACGAAUUGCCAAAUAUCGCAUAUCGCCUUCGUUUAAGGGAUUUUAAAAUAUAUGAGUGAAAUUUUGAAAUGAUAUUCGAUUAUUUUGAGCAACUGUAAAAUUGCAACCCAACACGUUAGGGCAAGAUUCCGCGAAUUGCCAAAUAUCAAAUCUCGUCUUCGUUUUAAAGAAUUUUUGAAUGAAUGAUUAUAAAGCUAGCUUAAGACGUAUUAAUUCGAUUUAAAAUAAGACGAAAUUAAUCAUAAAUUUGGGUUUUAUAGAACCACAUUUCAAAAAUCAAGUGAAACGAUGAUAUGGGGUAAAAGGCACAUAUGAUGGUACGAUGCUUGAUGAACAAGAUUAUUAAUCGACUAGCAGAAUAAGCAAUUAAAAUAUAAUUAAUCUAGAAAUUAUAGCCUAAUUUCAAUCAUGUAUGAAUAAUAAUUGACAUAUCAACAGGAUGAAUACCAUGCGAUGGUAACAUAUAUGCUACAAUAUAGAACAACCAACAAAAUACAUGCAAAACAAAAUAGAAUUUAAAAGUCAAAGUGGUAUAGGAUUAAUAAACUCAUGCUAUAUAAAUUGACAAGUUUGAAUGAAAACUAGGAAUAUAUAUAUAACUAUUGAAAUAGAUAUUAGAAAAUGAAAGUUGAAUUAAAUUGUAUGUAAAAUAAUUUAAACAUAAAUUCAUUUAAAAGUUAACAGAAUAUAUGAUAAUAAAAAUAUAUGAUACAAAAAAUACAUAACAAAAUAUAAUGCCCCAAAAUAGAUUUAUAAGGAAUGUACAUAUAAUUUUAUAAAAAAGAAUGAGAUUAAUGAUAAUGUACAUAUAAUUUUAAGUUGGUCUAAAAACCAUACAUCCUUAUAUCAAAACAUUUAAAUAAUAGGCUAUAUAAAACACAAAAAAACAAUGUAAUAUAAAGAAACAUUAAAAAAGAUAAUAAUUUCAUAAUUAAAAAGUUUCUAAAAUUAUUUCAUAUAUACAUAAAGAAAAUAUUCGGUAAAUCACAAAGUAAAAGGUGUUUUAAAAUAAAAAAUCUAUUAAAGUAAUAAGUGUAUUAAUAUGUAUAUAUAUACAUAUAAAUCUAAAGUAAAUACGUGUAAAUUUAUAUAAAAAUGAUAAUAUGUUUAGGUUUAGUAAUGUAUAUGAAUCAAAUACAUAUACUAAUAUAAAAGAAUAUAAAAUAACUUAAAUCUUAUAUAAAAUAUAUAUACAAAGCAUAUUUGAAUAGCAAAAAAUACGUAUUGAAGUACAAGGAUAAAGUCAAAAGCCAUUAUAUGUAUGAAAAUACAUUAACUUUAUUAUAAUAUAUACGUAAUAUGUAUAGUAAUACAAAGGAAAUGAACAUUUAAAAUGUACAAAAUGUGAUAAUAACAUUACAAAAAAAACGAAUCUACAAGAAUGAAGAAGCAAUCAUCAAGAUUAAUUAAAAUGUACAAAUAAAAUAAAAUAAAAAGGGGUAUAAAACAAUAAAAACUUAAUUAAAAUUAAACUAAAACAAAGGGAUAAUUCGAAAACAAACAAAAAUAAAAAAGGACCAAUAUUUAAUGGGCGAAAACGUCUGGGGACUAAAACUGGCAAUAUACCAGAUCCCAAAACGUCAAGUUUAAGCGCAGGUUAGAUUGUAAACGAAUAUAAAUUAUUGGGCCAAAUUUAAAAAAGGUAAAUAAAACAAAUGGGGCGCACUUGAGCACGCGUACAAAAAAGGAGGGCUUUUACCGAAAAUAACCCUUCACCGCAUAGGCACGCGGGUCCUGAGGGUUAGGAAUCGGAUCGGGUCAGGUGUACCAAUACGACACCGUUUGGAAAGCCAUUGGAUAAGGCCUAAAACGGUGCCGUUCCUGGUCCUAUAAAAAGGCCCCUUUUAGCCCACUCAGCCGAACCCUAGCCUCCAUUCUUCUCCUCAGCCAUAACCUGUGUUUUCUCCCUCCAAGAGACCAGCCCGCCUCAAGGUAUGGUGACCGACGCUCGCAGGCUUCGAAACAGGGUUUCUUUCAGCCACCGAAUUCCCUUUGAACCCCGAUUUCGACGAAGCAAAAGGGAAUCCGCAGCCUAAACUCAAGGUAAGUCCUCUUUUUCUUUUCUUUUUUUGAAUGUAAAAUGACAAAAAAAUAAGAAGGAAGAAAUAGCAAAUAGAACCGAAGAACAAAGAUCACCUUCUCAAGAAGUAGCUUUCUGAUUUUCAAGCAAUGUGUAUUGCGUAUGUAUUGUGUGUAUUCGUUUAUAUUGCCUUCGUAACCAUUACAAAGAUUAAAUCGUUGGCUUUAUAGCCGAAAAGAAAUCAAAAGAUAAAAAAUACAAACAAAUUCCUAUUGGCUGCCGUUCUCGCUGCUGUUUUUUGUUUCCUUUCGCAGGUACAGGUGCGUGGCGUGUGUACGAGGCUGUACUGGCGUCCGAGGGCUGUUGACGUGGAGGCCCGAGCGUUGUACGGCGUCUGGAGGCUGCAGGAGUUGCUGCGGCGCAAGCAGAGGAGGUGACCUAGGGUUUCUGAAGCUGUUAGGGAAAUGGGCCUAUAGGGCUUGCUCCGACUUGGGUUCUAACAUUAAUUUGGGCUUGUAAUAGGCAUCGAGUUAGUCUUUGGAUCAUAGGAUUGGUCUUUGUAAAUAGGCUAUGGGCCAUAUUAGUAAUUUUUGGACUAAUGGACCGUAAAAGGACAUUUGGGUUUUAUGUUUAUUAUUUUUGGUUUGUUUUUUGUUUUUUAUAUGGGUCGGGCAAAUUUGGCCCACUACAUAUAUUUUGUUGGUUUUUAAAUAAUAAGAUUAAAAUAUCC
This 16336-nucleotide long non-coding RNA is filed under the name Gossypium barbadense (sea-island cotton). RNAcentral describes it as "long non-coding RNA (GBAR_LNC008603)". The record is from RNAcentral. Lineage: Eukaryota; Viridiplantae; Streptophyta; Magnoliopsida; Malvales; Malvaceae.